This 253-nucleotide ribosomal RNA is filed under the name uncultured bacterium. RNAcentral describes it as "partial 16S ribosomal RNA". It matches the Rfam family "Bacterial small subunit ribosomal RNA", at positions 524 to 776 of the family's 1533-position model. The record is from RNAcentral.
UACGUAGGUGGCAAGCGUUGUCCGGAUUUACUGGGCGUAAAGAGCGCGCAGGCGGUCGUAUAAGUCGAAUGUGAAAGCCCCCGGCUCAACUGGGGAGGGUCAUUCGAUACUGUUCGACUCGAAGGCAGGAGGGGGAAGUGGAAUUCCGGGUGUAGUGGUGAAAUGCGUAGAUAUCCGGAGGAACACCAGUGGCGAAGGCGACUUUCUGGCCUGUUCUUGACGCUGAGGCGCGAAAGCUAGGGGAGCAAACGGG